UGCAAGUCGAACGGCAGCACGGGAGCAAUCCUGGUGGCGAGUGGCGAACGGGUGAGUAACAUAUCGGAACGUGCCCAGUAAUGGGGGAUAGCCCGGCGAAAGCCGGAUUAAUACCGCAUACGACCUACGGGUGAAAGCGGGGGAUCGCAAGACCUCGCGUUAUUGGAGCGGCCGAUAUCAGAUUAGCUAGUUGGCGGGGUAAGAGCCCACCAAGGCGACGAUCUGUAGCUGGUCUGAGAGGACGACCAGCCACACUGGGACUGAGACACGGCCCAGACUCCUACGGGAGGCAGCAGUGGGGAAUAUUGGACAAUGGGCGAAAGCCUGAUCCAGCCAUGCCGCGUGUGUGAAGAAGGUCUUCGGAUUGUAAAGCACUUUAAGUUGGGAGGAAGGGCAGUUGCCUAAUACGUAACUGUUUUGACGUUACCGACAGAAUAAGCACCGGCUAACUCUGUGCCAGCAGCCGCGGUAAUACAGAGGGUGCAAGCGUUAAUCGGAAUUACUGGGCGUAAAGCG
This 516-nucleotide ribosomal RNA is filed under the name uncultured bacterium. Its description in RNAcentral is "bacterial SSU rRNA". It matches the Rfam family "Bacterial small subunit ribosomal RNA", at positions 56 to 567 of the family's 1533-position model. The record is from RNAcentral.